GCGCUCGUAGCUCAGCCGGAUAGAGCAGCCGCCUUCUAAGCGGCAGGUCGUGGGUUCGAGACCCGCCGGGCGCA
This 74-nucleotide transfer RNA is filed under the name Chloroflexota bacterium. RNAcentral describes it as "tRNA-Arg". It matches the Rfam family "tRNA". From Rfam's summary of the family: Transfer RNA (tRNA) molecules are approximately 80 nucleotides in length. Their secondary structure includes four short double-helical elements and three loops (D, anti-codon, and T loops). The record is from RNAcentral. Lineage: Bacteria; Bacillati; Chloroflexota.